AUGCAGCCAGUUGAGCUGGCCAGGCCCCCUUCUUCAUGGGAACCUGUGUGUAAUGGCUGCAAACAGAAGCCUGCUUGGAGGCAUGUUCAACCUGCUAUCUGUGUGGGUUUCCCUAAGGGAUCUUGGUGGCAGCU
RNAcentral lists this small nucleolar RNA (134 nucleotides) under Mus pahari (shrew mouse). RNAcentral describes it as "predicted gene, 25999 (MGP_PahariEiJ_G0034306.1)". It matches the Rfam family "Small nucleolar RNA SNORA70". From Rfam's summary of the family: snoRNA U70 seems to be exclusive to mammals and is a member of the H/ACA class of snoRNA which contain H (ANANNA) and ACA box motifs. Lineage: Eukaryota; Metazoa; Chordata; Mammalia; Rodentia; Muridae. The record is from RNAcentral.